GAGGAUGCAAUUUUGCCCGUGAAUGCAUUUUCUUAAAUGUGUUGGCUUCAUUCCUUCUUUGGUAAAGAAUAUCAACGGAUUGGCUAAUGCGCUGUAAAUUUUAUUGUACUGCUCCUUGGCUUCCUUGGCUUCGGAGUAGAUGCAGGAGACCGGUUGGUUCUCAUGGUCUUUUCCUCUCCUGGGAACAUCAGUGUGUCAGAUCAAAUGCAAGCAACAAAGCUGCGUGAAACUGCAAGCCUGUCUUGCAGCUCUGAGCGACUUGGCUGUCUUGUCCAGAGAUAACAUCAGAGCGCCCCCUGCUGGCCAGUAGAGCAGAAUGUUGCGGGUCAGCGCCCCCCCACCCCCGCCCGCCGGGAAGCAAAUCGUGCUUUUCUGUGCUCUCCACCCCCCACCCACAGACUCCUUCCACUGCCCCCACCUCCGUUCUGCAGCAAAACCGCACCGCAGGGGAAUAGUACGUCAAGGCUGAACAUUUAAAUGAGUAAAUGAUAAAAAUAAUAAUAAAAUACGAAGGAACCCCCACUUUCACUUGGCCUCCGGGGAAUAAACUAUCAAAUGAUUACCAAAGGGACACAUUUUCUUUUUUCUAAACCUCUUUAUUCUUCUGAGUUUUUGCUGUGGGUUGUUUGUUUCUGCCGAACUGUAGCUUCUGAGUCCAAAGAAAUGUUUUUAAUAGAUGCUGUAGAAGAUUUUUUUAAUGGGUAUCUCAUGGGGAAGGAGGCCAAUAUAAAACAAUGUAUUGCAGCCUCGCAAAAUUCAACUCCCAGGGAACUGGCACUAUUUCAGUAAAGUCCCCAGGAAUCACUUUAGGAAUUCAGACAGUUCCUUGUCUUGAAUGACCCUUUCUUGCAAGGCAAAAAAAUACCGGCUCCUGUACGAUCUUGUUUAUUUCACAAUAAAGAACGUGUUUAAAAGUUGUCACAGUCCUAUCUAUCUACCUACCUACACACACAACAUGUCCUUUCCCUGCGUGCCCUGUUCCCUCCCCAGUUCUUCUCAGUUUUGCUGGAAACGGAGAGGCUAGCUGGAGCGCUCCAAAAUAACCCUCCAGUGUCUCCGACGCUUGAUCUUUCACUGAUGCUUCACGUCAAAUGUAAGGUGUGAGACUGGUCCUACUUUAGAGUGUACGGGUUGUUUUCCAACUGUCUGGGUGCACAGAUGCGUCUUCUCGGCUCCCCGGUGACUCUGCCCGGGACUUCUGACCACCCCGACUCGAGGGCGCCCAGGUGGCGAGAGCCGGGGCCAUGCCCGGGCCGGGCACCCGCCGGCUCCACCGCCUGCCUCUGCUCAUGGGCAAGGCGCUGCCACAGCAGCCCUGGCUCAGGACAGUCUUCUGACCGCAGCCAGACCCCCUGCAAAGCAUGCAAAUCUGCGGUGCGGAACUUUAGUUUGCGGGGACUUUGGGGGCUUUGAUUUUUAAGGUGCGGGAUUGCGGGACUUGGUGAAAACAGCCCUGAGAAACGAGGCGCGGGGGAAGGAACACCGGGCGGGGAGAACAGCAGGGGAAAGAAACCCCCGCCCGCACGCGCGUCACGCCUUCUCCAGCCCUCCGCCUCGGGGACUCCAGGGCCCGGCCGCGGCCCGAGACUUCGGGGAACGGCGCUGCGGGGGCACCGAGGAGGCAGCCAGGUCUCCACGCUAGAGGGGUGAUGCCUCAGUCAGGAUGUGUCUGAAGAAUUGCUGGGGCGAUUGUGUCAACUGAGGGCAAAGAAGGGAAAACAGAAGCAAAGAAAACCACCUCAAAAGUCUCAUGUUUGCUGUUGUUAAAAGGCUGUUUCUUCAUUUCUGAUUUCCUUAUCUUUCACUACAAAGAAAAAACUCAAAAGAUGUGUCUACACUGGAUGAGAAAAAAACACUAACAAUAACAGUGAAGGUGCAUUUGUUUUAUUUCUUUUCCCUGAAAAAAAAAUUUUAAUAUCCACCAAUUUAGUGAAGUCGAAAGCUGUGAACAGGUAAAAGAGGUUCCCUUGUCCGCGUCUAUUUGCUGACUUUCAUCACUUGCAUUUGGUAGGCUUUUGUGUCAAACAGAAAUUAUGGAAAAGAGAAAUAGGUAUUUGCCAAGAAACGACGUUACACUUUCCAGCAGACUCCACCUGAUUCUGCAUUCGAGUGCUGGGAGGCGUGCGCGCGCGUGCCGUUUCCCCCUCAGAAACCCCAAAGCCUUCAUUAGACGUGGACAAAGAGGGGUGAGAACCCUAUUACUGAGCAUUCUGAGAAAAAUAGAAGCAGUGCCCCUCUGCUCCUAGCACCCUAGAAAGGACACCCCGAAAAAGGGCACACAUCAGUGUAUUUUCCUUAAGAGCCCUGAGUUGGGCAGACCUUUCAGAGAAAUACACAGUAAUUAACAUGGGAAAAAGCAAAAUGCUGAAACGAAGGACGGUGGCCAACAAAAAAAUAAAAUAAAGCAUGCUAAAAA
Molecule: long non-coding RNA, 2416 nt
Organism: Phyllostomus discolor (pale spear-nosed bat)
Lineage: Eukaryota; Metazoa; Chordata; Mammalia; Chiroptera; Phyllostomidae
Exons: 5
Source: RefSeq, a predicted model, not a curated record